GAUGAACGCUAGCGGCAGGCUUAACACAUGCAAGUCGAGGGGUCUGCUUCGGCAGACGACCGGCGCACGGGUGAGUAACGCGUAUCCAACCUGCCCUUCUCAUUGGGAUAGCCUUUCGAAAGAGAGAUUAAUACCGAAUAACAUAGUAAAGUUGCAUGAUCUUACUAUGAAAGCUCCGGCGGAGAAGGAUGGGGAUGCGUUCCAUUAGGUAGUAGGCGGGGUAACAGCCCACCUAGCCGACGAUGGAUAGGGGUUCUGAGAGGAAGGUCCCCCACACUGGAACUGAGACACGGUCCAGACUCCUACGGGAGGCAGCAGUGAGGAAUAUUGGUCAAUGGUCGGAAGACUGAACCAGCCAAGUAGCGUGAAGGAUGAAGGUUCUAUGGAUUGUAAACUUCUUUUAUACGGGAAUAAAACCUCCCACGUGUGGGAGCUUGUAUGUACCGUAUGAAUAAGCAUCGGCUAACUCCGUG
RNAcentral lists this ribosomal RNA (473 nucleotides) under uncultured bacterium. Its description in RNAcentral is "bacterial SSU rRNA". It matches the Rfam family "Bacterial small subunit ribosomal RNA", at positions 28 to 507 of the family's 1533-position model. The record is from RNAcentral.